RNAcentral lists this ribosomal RNA (253 nucleotides) under uncultured bacterium. RNAcentral describes it as "partial 16S ribosomal RNA". It matches the Rfam family "Bacterial small subunit ribosomal RNA", at positions 524 to 776 of the family's 1533-position model. The record is from RNAcentral.
GACGUAGGGCGCAAGCGUUGUCCGGAUUUAUUGGGCGUAAAGAGCUUGUAGGCGGUCUGUCGCGUCUGCUGUGAAAAUCCGGGGCUCAACCCCGGACUUGCAGUGGGUACGGGCAGACUAGAGUGUGGUAGGGGAGACUGGAAUUCCUGGUGUAGCGGUGAAAUGCGCAGAUAUCAGGAGGAACACCGAUGGCGAAGGCAGGUCUCUGGGCCACUACUGACGCUGAGAAGCGAAAGCAUGGGGAGCGAACAGG